GAAUCUACAAAGAUGCUUGGAAUGCUCGACCGUUUCUAUCGUCUCUGCGAAUGGCGAUACGAUACGACUCCUCUUUUUUCCAUCGAUUAACAAAAAUACACCAUAAAUGUUUUCUUGAAAAAGGAAUAUAUUCGACUCACGACGACAAGGUGAGACUUAACGGUCAACUUGCCGGGAAGAUACGUUUUCAAUGAAGUUUUAUUGCGAAACGCUUUUCAAAUAUUACGUGAUAAUUGAAUAUAAUGAUACAGAUUAACUUAUGAGACAAUUGGCAUUAUUUCGAAUUCUAUCGUUUCUGUAUUUGCCAAUAUGAAUUUAGAUAAAUUAGCCGACGUGUUUUAUUUGUGAAGAGUUAGUAGUUUGUUCAAUUUAAGCAAGUAAAUUUUUCUUUUUUAUAUAGGAAAUAUUGAUAUCGUUUAUGCGGGAAGUGCGCAAAAUAUAAUUUUACUAAUACCUGAUAGUAUUUAGUAAUCUUUGCCAAUCUUAUUUGCCAAGAAAUUUUAUCAAGUUAGUUUAUAUUAAGAUAUAGACAUAUACUAGAGAAAAUAAAAAUUAUUAUUAAUUUAGCAAAAAGUUCUUGAUAAGUUGUACAUAGGUCUUGAAUACUCGAUCACAUGAAUUAUAAUCUGUAGAGGUGAUUAUAACAGGAUAUUAAUUCCAAUGUAUAUUUCAACAUAUGAAUAUUAUUUUCUUUUAUCAUUGAUCAUUAUCCCAGUGUAUCUGUUUUUUAAAUUAUGGUCAUGGCUAGGUUGGCAAUUAUUUAUAAAUAAUUAAUAUAAUGUGCAUUGUGUCUUUGGUU
Molecule: long non-coding RNA, 799 nt
Organism: Bombus pyrosoma
Lineage: Eukaryota; Metazoa; Arthropoda; Insecta; Hymenoptera; Apidae
Exons: 4
Source: RefSeq, a predicted model, not a curated record